GAUCUGUGAGCGUGGGCGGCGGGGGCGUUGCGAGGAAGGCUCUGAAGAGAACGGCGGGGCGAGAGGAGCGAACGAAGUGAGAGGGUAGAGAAACGGAGUCCUGUAGGUACUAUUUUUCUUGUAGAAAUUUGCUAAAUGGGUCAUGCAGAUGUUAGGAUGCCGUUGCAAUCAAAAUCACUAGAACCUCCAGCUACUAGCCAAAAUUUGGCUGCAAGAGGUCCACCACCUGAUUCAAAUCCAAAGAAGAUCUGCUGUGCCUGCCCGGAAACAAAGAGGCUGAGAGAUGAAUGCAUUGUGCAGCAUGGCGAGGCUGCAUGUGAAAAAUGGAUUCAAGCUCAUUUACAGUGCCUUCGUGCUGAGGGAUUCAACAUCUGAUGCUUCAUAUAACGGUUGGGGUUGGUAGUCUUUCAUUUCUGCGAUUUAGGCACCAGAUACUUUUUAUACUGAGUUUUAACAUAACUGACUUCCCAUGAAGAUUCAUGAAGAAAGAUGGUCAAAGAUUUAAGCACUAAAUACUUUUUAUACCGAGUUUAACGUCCCUGAUCUUCCCAUUGCGAUUCAUGAAUAAAGAUGGACAAAUGUUCUCGAGUGCCGUGUCCAGAAGAUAUUUCAUUACUAUUUUGCUCUCCUCAAGUUACUAAAUUUUUGUUUUAUAGAAAGAUAAACAAACUUUUGACAUAUCAGAGUUUAACCUUACAAGUUAGUUUAACUUACAGAUGUCCUCGGUGCCUUUUCUCUUUGACUGGAGUAGGAUUUGUCAGGGUACGAGGCCUGUUUAGAAUACAGUGCGGUAGUAUUUGGGGAAAAUAAUGCAGGACUUUUCUUGGUACCCUAAUAUUGAUGGGAUGUUGCAAACUACUUGGGAGCUUCAGUGUCAGGUUGCUCAUAGAUUGACAGGAUACUUGAUGUAGAGGCGUUCUGUCAGCUUUGGUGAAAGGUUUGUAGGAUAGCCCCUCCAUGUGAUGUCAUGAUGGUGGGAUAAGAUGAGCUUCCUGAUCCUUCUGCUCCCAUGUUCUGUUGCUACUCUAAUGAUGGAGAUAUUGUGCAAAUACUCAAGCCACUUAUUCAUAUGGUACCUGCAAUGUUCCUAAGAUUUUUUGGACUAAUGCAGAUUUGGUGUUGGUUUACUAGUUUCUUUUUUCCAGACUUUUGAUGAUAUAUGCUUGUUAUUGCACUAGCAAGUCUGAUAUACCUGAAUUAUUUCUCAGUAAAUAAGAUUUUUUUAGCAACUGAGGAUGUCUACCAAAAAGAUUCAUAAAAAUUCUUGUCCUUUAUCACCACCAAAAAAAAAAAAAAGAUUCACAAAAACACUGUAGAUGCUAUACUUACACAGUUGGCCCUUACAGAUCUAACCAUAUAUCCAUGAAUUUUUUAUUGAGUUUGAUGGCAGCUACCACAAAAUUCUGUGAUGUUGUGUUGAGUUACUUUCUAUUGUAUACGUGCAACAUCCCCCAUGCAAUAACAAUAGAGUUGUUUGAGCAUAAGAGGUGGACUUACAGAAGAAUUGAAGAACCAUUGACCCCACAGUUCCUAAAUUUCAAGUUCCUAGAUCUCCAUACGAAUCAAGGAGUUCCUGUCUGAGCCUGUACUGUGUUGAGAUGUCUGACCUUAUUAACUUGAAGCAUCAUCUCUUUGCUACAUUUGUGCAGGCUUAUUUAUGCAGGCAAGCAGCUUGCAGAUGACAAGACUGCCAAGGAAUACAACAUCGAGGGUGGUUCUGACCUUAUGAAUCAAGCAGCUUUCUCCAAGGGUGUCUUUAGUAAUAAUUAUUCAUGAUAUUUGAAAAAAAAAUAAGAGUAACCUAAACAUUACAUAUGGAUUUAAUGUGUUUUAUCAAGAGUGCCCUUAAAUUA
Molecule: long non-coding RNA, 1853 nt
Organism: Phoenix dactylifera (date palm)
Lineage: Eukaryota; Viridiplantae; Streptophyta; Magnoliopsida; Arecales; Arecaceae
Source: RefSeq, a predicted model, not a curated record